CAUGCAUUUCGAUCGUAGCUCCGUUCUGCUAAGUUGCAAUUUUGUUGGCGGAGAACUUUUUGUGUUUUUAUUUUGCUGCGAAAAUUUUAUUAUUUGCGUGAUUUUUUUUGAAAUUACUAAAAAUGUCAAAAACAACAACACCAUAGCAAUAUGGAAAAUUGACAGAUAUGAUGGAGAGUAAGCCAACGUCCUAAAGAAGAUGUGCAGGCUUUUUGGAAAGAGGUAGCAUCAAAUUUAAAUGCACUUGGUCCUCCACCAAAAGACUCAAAUGCAUGGAGAAAGGUCUGCAUUGACUGGAAGUGAUAUUUGUAUCAAACGCAAGCUAACUAGCCAUAAGAAGGAAAUGAUGAGCACAGGGCGAGGGCAAUGUCGUUCACAACGUAUAAGUCCACUUGAGGAGAAAAUUGUGCGCUUAACGGGGUUGGAAAG
Molecule: long non-coding RNA, 429 nt
Organism: Bactrocera tryoni
Lineage: Eukaryota; Metazoa; Arthropoda; Insecta; Diptera; Tephritidae
Exons: 3
Source: RefSeq, a predicted model, not a curated record